GAUGAAGAACGUAGCAAAGUGCGAUAACUAGUGUGAAUUGCAUAUUCAGUGAAUCAUCGAGUCUUUGAACGCAACUUGCGCUCAAUGGUAUUCCAUUGAGCACGCCUGUUUCAGUAUCAAAAACACCCCACAUUCAUAAUUUUGUUGUGAAUGGAAAUGAGAGUUUCGGCUUUAUUGCUGAAUUCUUUAAAAUUAUUAGGCCUGAACUAUUGUUCUUUCUGCCUGAACAUUUUUUUAAUAUAAAGGAAUGCUCUAGUAAAAAGACUAUCUCUGGGGCCUCCCAAAUAAAUCAUUCUUAAAUUUGAUCUGAAAUCAGGCGGGAUUACCCGCUGAACUUAAGCAUAUCAAUAAGCGGAGGA
RNAcentral lists this unclassified non-coding RNA (359 nucleotides) under soil metagenome. Its description in RNAcentral is "partial contains 5.8S ribosomal RNA, internal transcribed spacer 2, and large subunit ribosomal RNA". The stretch from base 1 to 119 matches the Rfam family "5.8S ribosomal RNA", at positions 35 to 154 of the family's 154-position model. The record is from RNAcentral.